Molecule: ribosomal RNA, 530 nt
Filed under: uncultured bacterium
Lineage: Bacteria
Description: bacterial SSU rRNA
Rfam family: Bacterial small subunit ribosomal RNA
Source: RNAcentral
GGGGAAUAUUGCACAAUGGGCGGAAGCCUGAUGCAGCAACGCCGCGUGCGGGAUGACGGCCUUCGGGUUGUAAACCGCUUUCGCCUGUGACGAAGCGUGAGUGACGGUAAUGGGUAAAGAAGCACCGGCUAACUACGUGCCAGCAGCCGCGGUGAUACGUAGGGUGCGAGCGUUGUCCGGAUUUAUUGGGCGUAAAGGGCUCGUAGGUGGUUGAUCGCGUCGGAAGUGUAAUCUUGGGGCUUAACCCUGAGCGUGCUUUCGAUACGGGUUGACUUGAGGAAGGUAGGGGAGAAUGGAAUUCCUGGUGGAGCGGUGGAAUGCGCAGAUAUCAGGAGGAACACCAGUGGCGAAGGCGGUUCUCUGGGCCUUUCCUGACGCUGAGGAGCGAAAGCGUGGGGAGCGAACAGGCUUAGAUACCCUGGUAGUCCACGCUGUAAACGGUGGGUACUAGGUGUGGGGUCCAUUCUACGGGUUCCGUGCCGUAGCUAACGCUUUAAGUACCCCGCCUGGGGAGUACGGCCGCAAGGCUA